This 143-nucleotide non-coding RNA is filed under the name Gordonibacter pamelaeae. The record is from RNAcentral. Lineage: Bacteria; Bacillati; Actinomycetota; Coriobacteriia; Eggerthellales; Eggerthellaceae.
GGGCGGCCGACAAGGCUGCCUGAGGGGAAUGCGGGUGAGAAUCCCGCGCUAUGCCAGUAACCGUAAACGCCGAUGAGCGGAGAGAAGAUGGCGCGCGGCAGCGCCGUCCCGUCUCAGACGAGGCAAAGUCGGAACACCUGCCC